AACCUGGAAACAGAUGCUAAUACCGGAUAACAACAGAUGAUGCCUAUCAACUGUUUAAAAGAUGGUUCUGCUAUCACUCUUGGAUGGACCUGCGGUGCAUUAGCUAGUUGGUAGGGUAACGGCCUACCAAGGCGAUGAUGCAUAGCCGAGUUGAGAGACUGAUCGGCCACAUUGGGACUGAGACACGGCCCAAACUCCUACGGGAGGCAGCAGAG
Molecule: ribosomal RNA, 215 nt
Filed under: uncultured Lactobacillus sp.
Lineage: Bacteria; Bacillati; Bacillota; Bacilli; Lactobacillales; Lactobacillaceae
Description: partial 16S ribosomal RNA
Rfam family: Bacterial small subunit ribosomal RNA
Source: RNAcentral